GGGGAAUAUUGGACAAUGGGCGAAAGCCUGAUCCAGCCAUGCCGCGUGUGUGAAGAAGGUCUUCGGAUUGUAAAGCACUUUAAGUUGGGAGGAAGGGCUGCAAGUUAAUACCUUGUAGUUUUGACGUUACCAACAGAAUAAGCACCGGCUAACUUCGUGCCAGCAGCCGCGGUAAUACGAAGGGUGCAAGCGUUAAUCGGAAUCACGGGCGUAAAGCGUGCGCAGGCGGUUGUGUAAGACAGGUGUGAAAUCCCCGGGCUUAACCUGGGAACUGCGCUUGUGACUGCACGGCUAGAGUAAGGCAGAGGGGGGUGGAAUUCCUUGUGUAGCAGUGAAAUGCGUAGAUAUCAGGAGGAACACCGAUGGCGAAGGCAGCCCCCUGGGCCUGUACUGACGCUCAUGCACGAAAGCGUGGGGAGCAAACA
This 425-nucleotide ribosomal RNA is filed under the name uncultured beta proteobacterium. Its description in RNAcentral is "bacterial SSU rRNA". It matches the Rfam family "Bacterial small subunit ribosomal RNA", at positions 356 to 774 of the family's 1533-position model. The record is from RNAcentral. Lineage: Bacteria; Pseudomonadati; Pseudomonadota; Betaproteobacteria.